This 399-nucleotide ribosomal RNA is filed under the name uncultured bacterium. Its description in RNAcentral is "bacterial SSU rRNA". It matches the Rfam family "Bacterial small subunit ribosomal RNA", at positions 355 to 774 of the family's 1533-position model. The record is from RNAcentral.
UUAGGAAUCUUCCACAAUGGGCGAAAGCCUGAUGGAGCGACGCCGCGUGAGGGAUGAAGGCCUUAGGGUUGUAAACCUCUAAAAGAGGGACGAUAAUGACGGUACCUCUUGAAUAGCACCGGCUAACUCCGUGCCAGCAGCCGCGGUAAUACGGAGGGUGCAAGCGUUAUCCGGAAUCACUGGGCGUAAGGGCGCGUAGGCGGUCUGUUAAGUCCGAUGUUAAAUCCCGGGGCUCAACCCCGGAUAAGCGUUGGAUACUGGCAGGCUAGACGGUUGGAGAGGCGAGUGGAAUUACCAGUGUAGCGGUGGAAUGCGUAGAUACUGGUAGGAACACCCAUUGCGAAGGCAGCUCGCUGGACAACACGUGACGCUGAGGCGCGAAAGUGUGGGGAGCAAACC